Chelonoidis abingdonii (Abingdon island giant tortoise) is the source of this 131-nucleotide non-coding RNA. NCBI's taxonomy places the organism in Eukaryota, Metazoa, Chordata, Testudines, Testudinidae. The record is from RefSeq and is a predicted model, not a curated record.
GAAACUGGAACAAAGGACAGCGUGCAAGGGGUAUGAGUGAUUGCUGGACCCAGGCUAAAAGGAGAUUAGCCUGUAAGAGGGAGCAUUCUGGAAAUGGUGAGGAACUGAUCUCAGCAACAGAUCAGGUGUCU